RNAcentral lists this ribosomal RNA (560 nucleotides) under uncultured bacterium. Its description in RNAcentral is "bacterial SSU rRNA". It matches the Rfam family "Bacterial small subunit ribosomal RNA", at positions 153 to 692 of the family's 1533-position model. The record is from RNAcentral.
GAAACUUGGGCUAAUACCGCAUACGUUCACAGCUCUGCGGGGCUGUGAGGAAAGCUAGCCUAUUCUUGAAAGCUAGCGCUCUUGGAGGGGUCCGCGCCCGAUUAGCUAGUUGGUGGGGUAACGGCCCACCAAGGCUGCGAUCGGUAGCCGGCCUGAGAGGGCGAUCGGCCACACUGGGACUGAGACACGGCCCAGACUCCUACGGGAGGCAGCAGUGGGGAAUAUUGGACAAUGGGCGAAAGCCUGAUCCAGCAACGCCGCGUGGAGGACGAAGGCCUUCGGGUCGUAAACUCCUGUCAGUUGGGACGAAAAGUCGUCGGUCAAUAUCCGGCGAUUCUGACGGUACCAGCAGAGGAAGCCCCGGCUAACUCCGUGCCAGCAGCCGCGGUAAUACGAAGGGGGCUAGCGUUAUUCGGAAUUAUUGGGCGUAAAGGGCGCGUAGGCGGCUUGGUAGGUCAAAGGUGAAAUCCCUCAGCUCAACUGAGGAACUGCCUUUGAAACCACCUGGCUCGAGGCUGGGANGGGGUAGCGGAAUUCCCGGUGUAGCGGUGAAAUGCGUA